RNAcentral lists this ribosomal RNA (394 nucleotides) under uncultured bacterium. RNAcentral describes it as "bacterial SSU rRNA". It matches the Rfam family "Bacterial small subunit ribosomal RNA", at positions 28 to 422 of the family's 1533-position model. The record is from RNAcentral.
GACAAACGCUGGCGGGGUGCGUGAGACAUGCAAGUCGAACGAGGUUCAUCGGGCUUGCUCGAUGAACCGAGUGGCGGACGGCUGAGUAACGCGUAGGUGACCUGCCCGGAAGUGGGGAAUAACUGCCCGAAAGGGUGGCUAAUACCGCAUGUGGCCGGCGAAUCAGUUCGUCGUCUAAAGCCGCAAGGCGCUUCCGGAGGGGCCUGCGUCCGAUUAGCUAGUUGGUGAGGUAACGGCCCACCAAGGCGACGAUCGGUAGCUGGUCUGAGAGGAUGAUCAGCCAGACUGGGACUGAGAACGGCCCAGACUCCUACGGGAGGCAGCAGUCGGGAAUUUUGCCCAAUGGACGAAAGUCUGAGGCAGCAACUCCGCGUGAGGGACGAAGGCCUGGUGU